AAGACCAUACUUUCAGUGAUCAUUUCUAUAGUUUGUUACUAGAGAAGUCUCUCUGAAUGUGUAAAGCACAGGAAACCACGAGGAGGAGGCGCAGUGUUGUCUCCUGAGUGUGAAGCCGGCUCUAGAAGUUGCUUUACUGUAAUUGCCACUUGCCAUUGAUGAUGAUUCUUCUCUCCCUUCAUGGGAGAACACAGUAAAAAAAAAGAAGU
Small nucleolar RNA from Nycticebus coucang (slow loris), 209 nucleotides. RefSeq annotates it as small nucleolar RNA U3. The record is from RefSeq and is a predicted model, not a curated record. NCBI's taxonomy places the organism in Eukaryota, Metazoa, Chordata, Mammalia, Primates, Lorisidae. The transcript has a single exon.